This 502-nucleotide ribosomal RNA is filed under the name uncultured Glomus. RNAcentral's name for it is "SSU rRNA". It matches the Rfam family "Eukaryotic small subunit ribosomal RNA", at positions 569 to 1076 of the family's 1831-position model. Lineage: Eukaryota; Fungi; Glomeromycota; Glomeromycetes; Glomerales; Glomeraceae. The record is from RNAcentral.
AGCAGCCGCGGUAAUUCCAGCUCCAAUAGCGUAUAUUAAAGUUGUUGCAGUUAAAAAGCUCGUAGUUGAAUUUCGGGGUCAGCAAGUUGGUCGUGCCACCGGUAUGCACUGGCUUUGCUGAUUCCUCCUUCUUGUAGAACCGUAAUGCCAUUAAUUUGGUGUUGCGGGGAAACAGGACUGUUACUUUGAAAAAUUAGAGUGUUUAAAGCAGGCUAACGCUUGAAUACAUUAGCAUGGAAUAAUGAAAUAGGACGACGAUCCUAUUUUGUUGGUUUCUAAGAUUGACGUAAUGAUUAAUAGGGAUAGUUGGGGGCAUUAGUAUUCAAUUGUCAGAGGUGAAAUUCUUGGAUUUAUUGAAGACUAACUACUGCGAAAGCAUUUGCCAAGGAUGUUUUCAUUAAUCAAGAACGAAAGUUAGGGGAUCGAAGACGAUCAGAUACCGUCGUAGUCUUAAACCAUAAACUAUGCCGACUAGGGAUCGGAUGAUGUUAAUUUUAUAAAU